UUUCCGUAGGUGAACCUGCGGAAGGAUCAUUACAGAGUUCAUGCCCUCACGGGUAGAUCUCCCACCCUUGAAUAUUUAUACCUUAGUUGCUUUGGCAGGCCGUGGAAACACCAUGGGCUCCGGCUUAUGCGUGCCUGCCAGAGGAAACAAACUCUGUUUUUUAGUGAUGUCUGAGUACUAUAUAAUAGUUAAAACUUUCAACAACGGAUCUCUUGGUUCUG
Molecule: unclassified non-coding RNA, 221 nt
Filed under: plant metagenome
Description: partial contains small subunit ribosomal RNA, internal transcribed spacer 1, and 5.8S ribosomal RNA
Source: RNAcentral